AUUUCUGCCCAUGUUUGCCUUCCUUUCUGCUUCUGGCAGGGAGUGGAACAUCCCGAGAGCCAAGUUCCCAGAUGCCAGCCAAGGGCCAUCUGACCUGUUUUGAAUCUCAAUUUCCUGAUACAGAAAACAAAGGAUUGUCAGCUGACCUCUGUCCUGUGUGCCCAGUGGCCCCAGGUGACGUGUCUUCAAGAAGAGGCUGAGCUGCGGUGCUUGUAAGGGUCUCAUUCUGUCACCCAGGCUGGAGUGCAGUGGUGCAAUGAUGGCUCACUGCAGCCUCGACCUGGGCUCAAGUGAUCCUCCACCUCAGCUUCCUGAGUAGCUGGGACCACAGAGUCAUGUGCUGUUCCUGGGGCUUGGAUGAUGUAGGGGAAGCAAGGUGAAAGUGGUAUCCCGUGGUUCCACGUUCUGUCCUGCUGUGGGGCUGUCCCUCACAUGCUUUCAGUGGCUGUUGCAGAGGAAGAGCCUCCGGAAAUCUGCGUGGGUAAAGUCUCAGCCUUAGAUCCAAGGACAGUCCAAGGAAGUCCUAAGACCAUGGAGUUGGUGAUCUGGGAUCUGGGUUUGCUGAUAUUUCUCACCGUGAAUCUCUUGGUGGUGUUUGUGGGCACGAGAGGGGCAGAGAAUGGAGAGUGAGGCUACCACAUGAAGCGUCACCAGAGCUGCUCCCUGCUGCCUGCUCAGAGCACCCCGGAUCCACUGUUCAAUCUGCACAAGAUUCGGGGUCCAGACAUGGGAGACUUCAGCUGCCUCAGAGGACCGUGGACAGGGAAGGCCAGCCUCGCAUCCCUCUGUCCAUGCCUGGAAUGACUUUAAUAACCAAGAGUUUUAUUUUUGAAUUUGUAGCUGUCGUUCACUUUUUACCCACCCAUUCAAUAAACCUUACAGAAUUGC
This is a long non-coding RNA of Homo sapiens (human), 888 nucleotides long. Ensembl annotates it as small nucleolar RNA host gene 17. Its record names the gene SNHG17. NCBI's taxonomy places the organism in Eukaryota, Metazoa, Chordata, Mammalia, Primates, Hominidae. The record is from Ensembl.